GUAAGUAAAAUUUCUGUAAUUUGAAGAAUUUUACAGAAAAAGAUUUGCUUCAAACUCAUGUGUUUGAUAUUUAUGAAAGAAUCAGUGUUUAAAAAUUUAGAAUUAACAAAGAACCUGCAUACACUUUGAAAAUAUGCAAGAUUUUGAAAAGUAAACGAUUAAAUUUUAUGAUAAUUGUUUUAGAUUCUGAAAGUAUAUAAUUGAGCCAGGCAAACAGAAGAGGAAAUAAAGGAAAAACAGAACUAAACUUUAGACUCACUUUCAACUAUUUUAACUCAGUCUCUACAGGAUCAAAUUUUCUCUGCAGCAAUAAGGAAUUUAACUCAUUUCAAGGAUACAGUGGAAAAUAUUGUGUUAUGCAUAGUUCUUUUUUUCUGUAUUUUGGAAGAAACUUUUUAUAUGUCUUGGAUUGCAAGAGAAUCAGAUGCAAAAUUCUCUGAUCAUAUAGUUUGGAGAAUUUACUGGCCAGUUGUCACUAAACGAUAGGUACUCCAAAACAAAGGGCACAUCUUGUUUGUCUUUUUACCUCUCAUAGCAUUUUGCCUUGUUGGCAGUAAUCACUCUUCAAAUGUGGGUGCAUUAUCUGCUGUGAAUAAUGUGAUAGAAAUAUUUAAACAAUAUCCUUUUAUUAUCAUUCUCCUAAUUAUUAAGAUAUGUCAGUUGAAAUAUUGGUGCUUUUUUUCAUAUGUACCAUCUCAUUUAUCUCUAAAUAUUCUUUUCAAUGAGUUAAAAGAAAACAAACCAUUCUCUAUUGGAAGGGGAAUAGCAAAUCUUUAGCAAAAUACCACUUGUCAAAAAAGAGAGAGAAAAAGGAAUAUCCCAGUCAAAUUAAAUUACAGAGAGGAUUGACAUUGAUAGAAUACAAGUGUCUAAGACAGAAUUGUGCAGAAUUCCUACACCCAAUUCUUAUAAAAUGUACCGCUGGGAAACACAGCUUCCAUUUUAUAUCUCAUUGCAUCUGAAAAAGCAAUUUUUUUAGCAGAAUUCCAAUAUCCCUCUUCAAUUUCAAUAUGACAUUUUAUUUUAAGGUUAAUAGAUAUUAGUAAUACAUGCAACCACAGAACAUCAGCUACAACAAUACCCUACACAUAGAGAAGAUGAUUCUGUGGCUUCUGUUCCAUUAGACACCAUCACGGGGCCCAAAUCUGAUGGGAUAGAAGCUCCUCAUAACUCGUUCAGUCUACUAUGGCAUGAUAGAGCAUCUGAGCAAGCCUCUCAGUGACAGUGUUUUACCGUAACAUCUUUCCUGACUUAGUUUCCUCUCUCAUAGGAUCUCAUAGCAACAAAAUUUUGGAAACUAUAGGUUUAACCAUUGAAAGCAGUGUCAUUGUGAAAGACUUUGGGUACAGAUAAGAUAAGAACAUGCCUUGAGUAGCCAGUGAUGGAAGAAAAUGGAUCAGGCAUGACUUCAACCCACAGCCUGGAGUCAAGCCCAGGCAAACUGAAGCAUAAAGCAGAGCCAGCCCAAAGAACCUGCAGAAUUGGGAGCAAGAAAAAUGAACGUGUUGUUUUAAGUUCCUGAGAUUUUGAGGUUGUUGAUUAUGCAGCAUUAUUGCACCAGAAAACUAAAUAUUAAAAUUUUAUGUUACUUGUGCGUUAGAUUCCACCUAUUUUCAACUUCAUAUAUUGUCUAAAAAAUAGUGCUGUUAAAAAUAGUAAGAAAAUUUUGACAUAUCACAGGUU
Molecule: long non-coding RNA, 1683 nt
Filed under: Equus caballus (horse)
Lineage: Eukaryota; Metazoa; Chordata; Mammalia; Perissodactyla; Equidae
Description: lncRNA (ENSECAG00000055371.1)
Source: RNAcentral